This is a non-coding RNA of Leptonychotes weddellii (Weddell seal), 3884 nucleotides long. NCBI's taxonomy places the organism in Eukaryota, Metazoa, Chordata, Mammalia, Carnivora, Phocidae. The record is from RefSeq and is a predicted model, not a curated record.
CUGCUAUAGGAGCGUUCCUGUUUCCCAGUGACCGGAGAGGCAGCCUGGGAGUCAGAUGUGGCUCAGACAGGGAGAGGAAAGGGGCAGCCAGCCAUGGCCCAAGGUAUCUGAGAUGCCGCUGCCCCAGAAGAAGCGCUGGGUGUCCAUGGCCAAGGGGCUGGUGCUGGGAGCGCUCUUCACCAGCCUUCUGCUGCUGCUGUACUCCUAUGCUGCCCCCCCACUGCACACUGGCCUGGCCUCCACCAGGACCCCAGAGGGCACAGCGCCCUGCUCCCCGGCGCCAGGUGAGCCCGAGGCCCUGACCCCGGCCAACGGCUCUGCGGGAGGGUGCCAGCCUCGACGCGACAUCGUGUUCAUGAAGACGCACAAGACGGCCAGCAGCACGCUGCUCAACAUCCUGUUCCGCUUUGGCCAGAAGCACGGGCUCAAGUUCGCCUUCCCCAAUGGCCGCAACGACUUCGACUACCCGGCCUUCUUCGCUCGCAGCCUGGUGCAGGACUACCGGCCCGGGGCCUGCUUCAACAUCAUCUGCAACCACAUGCGCUUCCACUACGAGGAGGUACGCGGUCUGGUGCCGCCCAACGCCACGUUCAUCACCGUGCUCCGCGACCCCGCCCGCCUCUUCGAGUCCUCCUUCCACUACUUCGGCUCGGUGGUGCCCUUCACGUGGAAGCUCUCGGGCAGCGACAAGCUGGCCGAGUUCCUGCAGGACCCAGACCGCUACUAUGACCCCAACGGCUACAACGCCCACUACCUCCGCAACCUGCUCUUCUUCGACCUGGGCUACGACAGCGGCCUGGACCCCGGCAACCCGCAGGUGCAGGAGCACAUCCUGGAGGUGGAGCGCCGCUUCCACCUGGUGCUCCUGCAGGAGUACUUCGACGAGUCCCUGGUGCUGCUCAAGGACCUGCUGUGCUGGGAGCUGGAGGACGUGCUCUACUUCAAGCUCAACGCCCGCCGCGCCUCGGCCGUGCCGCGCCUCUCCGGGGAGCUGUACCGGCGCGCCACGGCCUGGAACGUGCUGGACGCCCGCCUCUACCGCCACUUCAACGCCAGCUUCUGGCGCAAGGUGGAGGCGUUCGGGCGGGAGCGCAUGGCCCGCGAGGUGGCCGCCCUGCGGCGCGCCAACGAGCGCAUGCGGCGCAUCUGCAUCGACGGGGGCCGAGCCGUGGACGCCGCCGCCAUCCAGGACUCGGCCAUGCAGCCCUGGCAGCCUCUGGGCGCCAAGUCCAUCCUCGGCUACAACCUCAAGAAGAGCAUCGGGCAGCGGCACGCGCAGCUCUGCCGUCGCAUGCUCACGCCUGAGAUCCAGUACCUGAUGGACCUCGGCGUCAACCUGUGGGUCACGAAGCUCUGGAAGCUCAUCCGGGACUUUCUGAGGUGGUGACAUCCCGCCCACCGGCAGCCCCCUCUGCCCGCUGGAUCGCUGAGGAGGGGCUGGGCGGGGCCGGCCGGCCUUCCCUGUGUCCUCCUGGUGCCCCCCCCAGCUCUGGGGGGAAUGAGCAUUAGGCUGAGUGGGUUAUCUCAGUUCAUCUUCAUCAAAACUCAGCAAUGUGGGAACUGUCAUUCCCUCGUGUCAGAGAUGAGGAAGGGAGCUCAGAGAGGGAAAGUCAUCUGGCCAAGAUCACACAGCAAGUAAGUGGUAGGACUGGAACAGGGGCUGGGUGGGAUGGAAUGUGUGGCCAGAUUAAGAUAGAGUCCAUGCAUGCGUGUGUGUGUGUGUGUGUGUGAUGGGGAGGUGGGGAGUACCUGGUGUAGCACUGAGAGCAGGCCCCGGGCCCAGGCUGAGGGUUCCUUGUAUAAUCUCAUUAAUCCUCACAGUCACUCUUCGAGGUAGGCACAAAUACCAUCCCAUAUUACAGGUGUGGGAAUUGACAUUCUGAGAGAUCAGAAGGGACUUAACUGAGGUACACAUCAGACCCAAAACUAAACCUUCUCCCUGGGACCCCAAGCCCCUUGCAGCAGUGUGGGGAUGCCUCAACCAUAACCACCUGCCUCCCUCGGCCUCCCCAGGGGGACAAAGGCCCUUUCUGGGGCAGAGGACUUGUGGGUCUCUAACUAGGAGCCAGCAGCCAGACACGAAAUGUAGAAACCACAGCCAAAGGAGUUUAUUGGAGAACUGUCUGUACCAGGCUCCAAGCCAAGUACUUGUACACCUUAUCUGAAUAUCCACAACAUCCCAGCUUUAUAGACCAAAGCUCAGAGAGGUUAAGUGAUUUACUGAAGGCCACACAUCUAAUUACUGCCAGAACUGGAUUUCAAGCUGGAUUAGUUGUCUCUUAAACCCUCCCUGGAUCUGAAUCAGUCUUUCUCCUGGGAGUGAGUUUCUGGCCCAAGCAAGGUGGGAAGAAGUUAGGGUGACCAACUCUCUCAGUAUCCUGGGACUGUCCCAGUUUUUGCACUGAAAUUUCCCAAAGCCCAGGAAACUCCUCAGUCUGGGCAACCAGGAUGGUUGGUCAGCCUGGGAGUUUUGAACCCACCAGCCCCCUGGAGCCACCGCCUGCACCCUCCUAAAGUUCUCUGUAGCAAGAAAUAAGCACAUCUUUGAAGCUUUAUUUAAUUCAUAUGGAAAGAACUAAGCAAAAGAAAGGAAGAAAGAAAGAAAAAAGAAAAAGAAUAGCUAAGGUAUUAUUGACUCCAAAUUCAUGAGAUAAUCUCCCCCCCCACAUACUUUUUAUUAAUCAAAGAGAGAUAUGAGUUAGUGCAAUAUGAUAAUAUCUUGGGUUUGUGGAACCUCAUAAUUUUAUUUCCUUGGACACUUAAAGGCCUAUAAAUACCAAUAAUAAUAUUACAUGUCAUCGAAUUAUUUAUUAUUAAUAUUGGCACUUCUAAGCCCUUAGGGAUCCAAGGAGAAUAAAUCUGGCAAAUAGUAGAUGCCAAGAAUAUAAAUUGCUCCAUUAGUAUUUACUAUCUGCCUGGUUUGUUUUAAGAACAUUAGAGUUAUUAACUCAUUUAUUAACAUAAUUAAUAUUUUAACAAUGAGUAGUUGCCUGGUACUGAGCGAGCACUUUGUGCUCAGCUCUGUGCCCUGGGAACAUGGACAGUUCCCUUUGCUCUCCUGAGGAGGCGACCAAAACACAGAGAAACUGAGCAACAAGCCCAGGGUCACCCAACCAGGCAGCCACAGAGGCAGGAUGCAAACCCAGGUCAGUCAGACACCAAGGGCUGGUGCUUGCAGCUUCCAGACCCUCGGUGCCGUUCCAGUUGGCCACCUCAGCCUCGGGAUGGAGGUCUUUUCCAUGGUUGAAAAUGUAUGAAGUCUCCAAGGGGCGGAGCUGCUUGUAGCCUGCAGGAGCCAGACUGCUCUUGCCAUAUCUGGGCAGCAGAGGGCGCCAUGGUGCCAAAUUUGGUCUUAGCAGGUCAGGCAGUUCCCAGCCGCCAGGGGCUGGGGGCACCCAUGGUUAGGCCUGGGCUUACAGGUGAAAGCCAGGGCGAAGGUCAUGGCUGUCGCCUGGGAGAAAUUCAGUGGAACUACCUGUUCCUCUCUGUAAUGGGAUGAAUUGUAACCCCUAAAAAGAUAUCUUGAAGUCCUAACCCCCAGUUCCCUAUGACUGACCUUAUUCGGAAAUAGGGUCUUUGUACAUGUAAUCAAGUUAAGAUGAAGUCAUCAGGGUGGGUCUUAAUCCAAUACGGCCGGUGUCCUUAUAAGAAGUGGCAAUGUCAUGUGUAUCUACACACAGGGACAAUGCCAUGUGAAGACAGGCAGAGCUUGGCGUGGUGCAGUUACAAGCCAAGGAAUGCCAAGGGCCGACAGUGACCUCCAGAAGCUAAGAAGAGGCAAUGAAGGAUUCUACCCAGAGUCUCAGAGGGAACAUGGCCCUGCUGACACCUUGGUUUCAGACUUUCAGCCUGCAGAACUGUGAAAGAAUAAAUGUCUGUUGUUU